RNAcentral lists this ribosomal RNA (253 nucleotides) under uncultured bacterium. Its description in RNAcentral is "partial 16S ribosomal RNA". It matches the Rfam family "Bacterial small subunit ribosomal RNA", at positions 524 to 776 of the family's 1533-position model. The record is from RNAcentral.
UACAGAGGGUGCAAGCGUUGUUCGGAAUUAUUGGGCGUAAAGGGCGCGUAGGCGGCUGGACAAGUCGAAUGUGAAAGCCCAGGGCUUAACCUUGGAAGUGCAUUUGAAACUGUCUAGCUUGAGUCUCGGAGAGGGUCGUGGAAUUCCCAGUGUAGAGGUGAAAUUCGUAGAUAUUGGGAGGAACACCAGUGGCGAAGGCGACCGGCUGGCCGAAGACUGACGCUGAGGCGCGAGAGCGCGGGGAGCAAACAGG